This 497-nucleotide ribosomal RNA is filed under the name uncultured bacterium. RNAcentral's name for it is "partial 16S ribosomal RNA". It matches the Rfam family "Bacterial small subunit ribosomal RNA", at positions 28 to 507 of the family's 1533-position model. The record is from RNAcentral.
GAUGAACGCUGGCGGCGUGCCUAAUACAUGCAAGUCGAGCGAACGGACGAGAAGCUUGCUUCUCUGAUGUUAGCGGCGGACGGGUGAGUAACACGUGGAUAACCUACCUAUAAGACUGGGAUAACUUCGGGAAACCGUAGCUAAUACCGGAUAAUAUUUUGAACCGCAUGGUUCAAAAGUGAAAGACGGUCUUGCUGUCACUUAUAGAUGGAUCCGCGCUGCAUUAGCUAGUUGGUAAGGUAACGGCUUACCAAGGCAACGAUGCAUAGCCGACCUGAGAGGGUGAUCGGCCACACUGGAACUGAGACACGGUCCAGACUCCUACGGGAGGCAGCAGUAGGGAAUCUUCCGCAAUGGGCGAAAGCCUGGCGGAACAGCGCCGCGUGAGUGAUGAAGGUCUUCGGAUCGUAAAACUCUGUUAUUAGGGAAGAACAUAUGUGUAAGUAACUGUGCACAUCUUGACGGUACCUAAUCAGAAAGCCACGGCUAACUACGUG